GUGUACGCACCAAGGCAACGAGGUGUUGAGCCCGCGAGCACUAACUGAUCGAGC
RNAcentral lists this ribosomal RNA (54 nucleotides) under Natrinema salifodinae. Its description in RNAcentral is "Halopiger salifodinae partial 23S rRNA. Archaeal LSU". Lineage: Archaea; Methanobacteriati; Methanobacteriota; Halobacteria; Halobacteriales; Natrialbaceae. The record is from RNAcentral.